CUACGUGCCAGCAGCCGCGGUAAUACGGAAGGUCCGGGCGUUAUCCGGAUUUAUUGGGUUUAAAGGGAGUGUAGGCGGUCUGUUAAGCGUGUUGUGAAAUUUAGGUGCUCAACAUUUAACUUGCAGCGCGAACUGUCAGACUUGAGUACACGCAGCGCAGGCGGAAUUCAUGGUGUAGCGGUGAAAUGCUUAGAUAUCAUGAGGAACUCCGAUCGCGAAGGCAGCCUGCGGGAGUGUUACUGACGCUUAAGCUCGAAGGUGCGGGUAUCGAACAGGAUUAGAUACCCUGGUAGUCCGCACGGUAAACGAUGGAUGCCCGCCGUUGGCGCCCUGCGCCUGCGGCCAAGCGAAAGCAUUAAGCAUCCCACCUGGGGAGUACGCCGGCAACGGUGAAACUCAAAGGAAUUGACGGGGGCCCGCACAAGCGGAGGAACAUGUGGUUUAAUUCGAUGAUACGCGAGGAACCUUACCCGGGCUUGAA
This 481-nucleotide ribosomal RNA is filed under the name uncultured bacterium. RNAcentral's name for it is "bacterial SSU rRNA". It matches the Rfam family "Bacterial small subunit ribosomal RNA", at positions 501 to 985 of the family's 1533-position model. The record is from RNAcentral.